This 270-nucleotide ribosomal RNA is filed under the name Bacillus sonorensis. Its description in RNAcentral is "partial 16S ribosomal RNA". It matches the Rfam family "Bacterial small subunit ribosomal RNA", at positions 139 to 401 of the family's 1533-position model. Lineage: Bacteria; Bacillati; Bacillota; Bacilli; Caryophanales; Bacillaceae. The record is from RNAcentral.
UGGGAUAACUCCGGGAAACCGGGGCUAAUACCGGAUGCUUGAUUGAACCGCAAGGUUCAAUUAUAAAAGGUGGCUUUUAGCUACCACUUACAGAUGGACCCGCGGCGCAUUAGCUAGUUGGUGAGGUAACGGCUCACCAAGGCAACGAUGCGUAGCCGACCUGAGAGGGUGAUCGGCCACACUGGGACUGAGACACGGCCCAGAACCCUACGGGAGGCAGCACUAGGGAAUCUUCCGCAAUGGACGAAAGUCUGACGGAGCAACGCCGCG